AGCAUAUUAAUAAGCGGAAGAAAAGAAACCAACAAGAAUUUCCUUAGUAAUGGCGAAUGAACAGGAAAAAGUUCAUCAUUGAAUCACCUUGCGUACAGCGAGCGUGAAAUGUGAUGUUAGAAUCGUAAUUGUAAACAGCACUUUGUGAUCUCAAGUCCAAUUGAAUGUGGCCAAUACCCAUGGCGGGUGUCAGGCCCUUGGUGUGAUCAAAUUGCUGCUAUAGUUUCGAUUUUGGAGUCGGGUUGUUUGAGAUCGCAAUCCUAAGAUGUGUGGUAAACUCCAUACAAAACUAAAUAUAACUACGAGACCGAUAGCGAACAAGUACCGUGAGGGAAAGUUGAAAAGUACUUUGAAAAGAGAGUUCAAUAGCACGUGAAACUGUACAUUGAAAAGCGGAUGAGAGCACAUGCACUGAUUUAAGUAAUUCACCUCCAUGCAUUGUGUUACAUAACGUGUAUCACGUUGAUUUCUAAUAGCAAUGUAUGAAGCGCAUUCUACUUAGUCACAAACUGUUCAGGUUCGAUAUCUUUUUGCUUGUCACAUGAACCGUACGUUUAUUCGCAUGAUUUUACCAGGUUCAUGUACGCUGCAAAAUAACGGACUUUUAAAAUAUGAUUGAUAUGUACUAUUACAAAUGACGACAGUUUUGGUUAAUAAUAGCUGUUUUGAAAGAGACAGAUUGAGUUUUCCAUGCUGUCGUAUAUAUAUAUAAACAUACUACUAUCAAUCUAUGGCAGAACAGCAAAAUUUGUGCCGUAUCAUCCGAACCGU
This 771-nucleotide ribosomal RNA is filed under the name Gigantorhynchus echinodiscus. RNAcentral describes it as "partial large subunit ribosomal RNA". It matches the Rfam family "Eukaryotic large subunit ribosomal RNA", at positions 37 to 652 of the family's 3401-position model. The record is from RNAcentral. Lineage: Eukaryota; Metazoa; Acanthocephala; Archiacanthocephala; Gigantorhynchida; Gigantorhynchidae.